CACGGAGGGUGCAAGCGUUAUUCGGAAUCACUGGGCGUAAAGAGCGCGUAGGCGGGCUCUUAAGUCAGAUGUGAAAGCCCGGGGCUUAACCCCGGAAGUGCAUUUGAAACUAAGGGACUUGAGUAUGGGAGAGGGAAGUGGAAUUCCUGGUGUAGCGGUGAAAUGCGUAGAUAUCAGGAGGAACACCGGUGGCGAUGGCGACUUCCGUGACCAAUACUGACGCUGAGGCGCGAAGGCGUGGGGAGCAAACAGG
Molecule: ribosomal RNA, 253 nt
Filed under: uncultured bacterium
Lineage: Bacteria
Description: partial 16S ribosomal RNA
Rfam family: Bacterial small subunit ribosomal RNA
Source: RNAcentral